AGUCCCGGCUAGGGACACAGCUCUUAGACUUUGAGCUAGACAACCAGGAGGACAGGAGGACCUAGUAUCCUGCCUCCAUCAGCCCAUCAUUUAUGCAAAUGCUACUUAGUUGCCGUCUAGAUGCAGGAUGCUGUCUGCCCUGUUAAAUGCUGUGUGAACCCAGAUGGAAGCUGAGCAGACAUCACACUCGUGAGCAGCUCCCCUUCCUAUGUUAUACGACCUCGUUCGCUGAAGUCAAAGAUGCAGAGGGGCCAAGGUGUGGGCUCCGGACCUCACACCAGUGUGGCAGAUUCAACAAGCCCAGAAUAAGCCUCUUCCUUUGCUCACAAUAAGAUUUAUUAUAGAAGCAACAACUUCUGCAUACCAGAGGUGAGAGAUGCAGCAAUCCUCUCCGUGCUCAUGAAGCUUAAAAUUUGGGGGAGAAAGUAGAGAAAAAUUAAGCCAACUGCCUCUUCAUUCCUCAGUCACACUCCUCCUCUGACCCUGCUCCAGGAGGCUCAUCUUGUCAGACUUCACACUGAAUGAGCGCUGAGGAUGCUGUAGAGUAUGAGCUGUGUGCAGGAUUGCUAUCUUCUGGUCCUGUACUCCUCAAGCUCAAAGGCCAACGUCCUGGCAUUUGUGUGACGGCUUUUGCCCUACCCUGCAGAAUUUGCAAUAGGCAGUCUCUACAUGUACUCAGGGCCCAGUGGGCAUUCAACAUGUUCAUUGAAUGACAA
Molecule: long non-coding RNA, 716 nt
Filed under: Mus musculus (house mouse)
Lineage: Eukaryota; Metazoa; Chordata; Mammalia; Rodentia; Muridae
Description: predicted gene, 32817, transcript variant 35 (Gm32817)
Source: RNAcentral